GCCAUUUAUUUAACAUAAACGUUUUUCAUUUUGUAUUCCUUUCUUAUUUGUUUCUUAUUUAUUUAUUUAACAUAAACGUUUUUCGUUUCGUAUUCCUUUCUUAUUCGUUUGUUAUUUAUUUAUUUCACAUAAACUUUUUUCGUUUCGUAUUCCCUUCUUAUUCGGUUCUUAUUUAUUGAAUUAUUUGUUGCACAAUGUGUGCCGUGAUUACUCGUUUUGUUAAUAUAGGCAACUUAUCUAACGUAAAUGUUUUUUGUUUUUGUUUCUUAUUUAUUUUUUGCUUGAUGUGUGCUGUGAUUAUUCGUUUUGUAAGGUCUGUGUUUAAUAUAAUCAAAUGUACUUUUUUGUAGUUUUGUGUGUUUUUAUUAAGAAAGAUAUUGAACCCACCAUUAAUUCAAGCAAUUGCCGUUCCCGAACUGCUGCUAAUUCAAAACUGAAAGUAAAAUGCGCCAUGCGCAGGGCCGCAUCUUCGACCACCCCACAGCAAACCCCCCACCCCCGGUGUCACGGGUACAACCAGUGUUUUUACAAUUAAAGUGGGAGUUUUCUUCAAUCUUGCAUCCAUGUCCUCACAGGAAAAGGGCAGAGGACGAACCUGGCCAGCCGACUUGGCACUCUUCAAUAUUCUCCAAGUAUAAAUGGAACAAAGUGUCACCAUAGCGAAGGCCGUGUCCGUUUGAGCUGUGUGUAAAGGUGACUUUGCUUUAUUUGGCCUUUAGCCCAGAGUUCAGCUGCAUUCUAGAGAGCUGUGUUAUCCUGACCACUCCCACAAAACACACUGUCGCCAUGCCCACCUCAUUAUCACAUUUAAAGCACGGCCUCGUAUAUCCUACACUCCACACGGCAGCCACCGCGGUUAAGCCUGGGCCCAUCCUGUGAGCCCCAUAAUCUUUAACGGGAUCAUAACCGACGUCACAUGAUGUCUACAAAGACAUGGCUGUUAUUUGAAGUUGAAUGAUCAGUCCCAGACGAGAGGAUUUUGCAUCGGGUGCCUGGUAGGAGAGCCACAGUCCCGUGGACACGUGCAUGACGAAACAGACGGAAUCGCCGUAUUUGAUCUCCGCCACUCCCAUGCCGUCUAUAUCACGCUUUGGACCGGACUCAACCUUUUCCUACCAAGGGAAGACAAAUUUGUAGUGACCGGUGGAGAGAUGGCGUAGACGGAAGGGCUGACCCCAUCUAAUGUGGCUCCCGCUCCAACUGCAAUUCAGAGAAAAGCCCAGUUUCCCCUAUGAGUCUGUGAGGCUUAGAUUGAGAUACAGUAUAGCUCUGUCAAUUAGCAAAUAUAUAAAUAAGUGUUGACCAUAUUAUUGCUUCAUUAUUUGAUAGCUUUCUUCACAAAAAAGAAAAACAAAAUCUUGCUAUCCACAUUCAUGGAUACGACAUGCUCCAUCCUGACUUGACUUCCACCUACCCCGUUGGGCAUAAUUGAAAAAGACACUAGAGGAACAACAAGUCUGGGUCAUUAAAAAUGUAUCGCCGUUUCGACCCAGAAUGUAUGUUUGUGUGCGCAGACAAGGAAAGAGAAGUGUGAGGGUCUGCAGGUAAGCG
Long non-coding RNA from Triplophysa rosa, 1551 nucleotides. RefSeq lists it as uncharacterized. NCBI's taxonomy places the organism in Eukaryota, Metazoa, Chordata, Actinopteri, Cypriniformes, Nemacheilidae. The transcript is spliced from 3 exons. The record is from RefSeq and is a predicted model, not a curated record.